Molecule: long non-coding RNA, 790 nt
Organism: Lagenorhynchus albirostris (white-beaked dolphin)
Lineage: Eukaryota; Metazoa; Chordata; Mammalia; Artiodactyla; Delphinidae
Exons: 3
Source: RefSeq, a predicted model, not a curated record
GCUAUCUUUUAAACAUGCAGGUUGAGAGAAUUACUUACAGUUUCUCUUUACACAUGGCACACUUAUUGUUGUAUGAUUUGCCAUUUUCAUUGCGUACAGGAUCAAUCUCCCGAGUACAGCUGAGUGGUCCAUUUUUCAUUUGUUUCCGAUACUCAGCACAUUGGUCCUGAAAGGGAAGAAGAGAGCAGGCCUCUUGGAUGACUUGGUCUGUUGUAUUGUUAUUAAGUUUGUUAAAUAAUUUGAGUAAGAAGUUCUUGUCUAUGUUCUCUUAUAAGGCAUGUAACAUCUAGGAUUGCUGUCUACAGAAGAGGAGGGGCUGGAAUCAUCCAUAUUCUAAGACAUCUGUUGUCAUGGGUCCUCUUCUUUGAAAAUAUCAAUAGAAAGAUGAAUUAUGUCACAUCCUUUUGCCUGGAAGAGCUCUCAUUGCAGUAGAAGAAAACCAGCGUUUACAUAACCUCAAGCAAGACUAGGCCUGUCUUCUCCGACACUCAGCAGGAGCAGUGACUGCAGGUCUACUCACAAGAAGGCUGCACACAUGAAGCAGGUGUUGCCGUGGAUUUUCCCAUCUGGGCCCUCGAUGGGGUCAUUCUCUGUGGUGCAGGGAAGACGUCCGUUCCUCACAUAGUUACGGUAUUCACGGCACAGCUCCUGCCAAGUGAGGGAGGGUUUAAGAAUCAGGUAACUAGGGCUUCCCUGGUGGGGCAGUGGUUGGGAGUCCACCUGCCGAUGCAGGGGACAUGGGUUCGUGCCCCAGUCCGGGAAGAUCCCACAUGCUGCGCAGUGGCUGGGC